UACAGAGGGUGCAAGCGUUAAUCGGAAUUACUGGGCGUAAAGCGCGCGUAGGCGGUUACGUAAGUUGGAUGUGAAAUCCCCGGGCUCAACCUGGGAAUUGCAUUCAAAACUGCGUGGCUAGAGUGUGGGAGAGGAAGGUAGAAUUCCAGGUGUAGCGGUGAAAUGCGUAGAUAUCUGGAGGAAUACCGAUGGCGAAGGCAGCCUUCUGGCCUAACACUGACGCUGAGGUGCGAAAGCAUGGGGAGCAAACAGG
RNAcentral lists this ribosomal RNA (253 nucleotides) under uncultured bacterium. RNAcentral describes it as "partial 16S ribosomal RNA". It matches the Rfam family "Bacterial small subunit ribosomal RNA", at positions 524 to 776 of the family's 1533-position model. The record is from RNAcentral. RNAcentral also lists the same sequence under 1 other name.